Non-coding RNA from Pelobates cultripes (western spadefoot toad), 271 nucleotides. The record is from the annotation of a GenBank genome assembly. Lineage: Eukaryota; Metazoa; Chordata; Amphibia; Anura; Pelobatidae.
UUUGUGUGUUAGUGUAUGUAUGUGUGUGUUAGUGUAUGUGUGUGUUAGUGUGUGUGUUUGUGUGUGUGUGUGUGUGUGUUAGUGUUUGUGUUUGUGUGUUAGUGUGUGUGUUAGUGUGUGUUAGUGUAUGUGUUUGUGUGUGUGUGUCAGUAUGUCUGUCUGUGUGUCAGUAUAUAUGUGUGUGUAUAUCUGUGUGUCAGUAUGUGUAUGUGUCAGUAUGUCUGUCAGUGCGUCAGUAUGUCUGUUAGUGCAUGUGUAUGCAUGUGUCAGU